Molecule: ribosomal RNA, 1223 nt
Filed under: metagenome
Description: bacterial SSU rRNA
Rfam family: Bacterial small subunit ribosomal RNA
Source: RNAcentral
AGAGUUUGAUCCUGGCUCAGGAUGAACGCUAGCUACAGGCUUAACACAUGCAAGUCGAGGGGAAACGAUAUUGGAAGCUUGCUUCCGAUAGGCGUCGACCGGCGCACGGGUGAGUAACGCGUAUCCAACCUGCCCACCACUUGGGGAUAACCUUGCGAAAGUAAGACUAAUACCCAAUGACGUCUCUAGAAGACAUCUGAAGGAGAUUAAAGAUUUAUCGGUGAUGGAUGGGGAUGCGUCUGAUUAGCUUGUUGGCGGGGUAACGGCCCACCAAGGCAACGAUCAGUAGGGGUUCUGAGAGGAAGGUCCCCCACAUUGGAACUGAGACACGGUCCAAACUCCUACGGGAGGCAGCAGUGAGGAAUAUUGGUCAAUGGGCGAGAGCCUGAACCAGCCAAGUAGCGUGCAGGAAGACGGCCCUAUGGGUUGUAAACUGCUUUUAUAAGGGAAUAAAGUGAGAGUCGUGACUCUUUUUGCAUGUACCUUAUGAAUAAGGACCGGCCAAUUCCGUGCCAGCAGCCGCGGUAAUACGGAAGGUCCGGGCGUUAUCCGGAUUUAUUGGGUUUAAAGGGAGCGUAGGCCGGAGAUUAAGCGUGUUGUGAAAUGUAGACGCUCAACGUCUGCACUGCAGCGCGAACUGGUUUCCUUGAGUACGCACAAAGUGGGCGGAAUUCGUGGUGUAGCGGUGAAAUGCUUAGAUAUCACGAAGAACUCCGAUUGCGAAGGCAGCUCACUGGAGCGCAACUGACGCUGAAGCUCGAAAGUGCGGGUAUCGAACAGGAUUAGAUACCCUGGUAGUCCGCACGGUAAACGAUGGAUGCCCGCUGUUGGUCUGAACAGGUCAGCGGCCAAGCGAAAGCAUUAAGCAUCCCACCUGGGGAGUACGCCGGCAACGGUGAAACUCAAAGGAAUUGACGGGGGCCCGCACAAGCGGAGGAACAUGUGGUUUAAUUCGAUGAUACGCGAGGAACCUUACCCGGGCUUGAAUUGCAGAGGAAGGAUUUGGAGACAAUGACGCCCUUCGGGGUCUCUGUGAAGGUGCUGCAUGGUUGUCGUCAGCUCGUGCCGUGAGGUGUCGGCUUAAGUGCCAUAACGAGCGCAACCCCUCUCCUUAGUUGCCAUCAGGUUAAGCUGGGCACUCUGGGGACACUGCCACCGUAAGGUGUGAGGAAGGUGGGGAUGACGUCAAAUCAGCACGGCCCUUACGUCCGGGGCUACACACG